UACGUAGGGUGCGAGCGUUGUCCGGAUUUAUUGGGCGUAAAGAGCUUGUAGGCGGCUCGUCACGUCGGGUGUGAAAACUUGCGGCUUAACCGCAAGCCUGCACCCGAUACGGGCGGGCUAGAGUUCGGCAGGGGAGACUGGAAUUCCUGGUGUAGCGGUGGAAUGCGUAGAGAUGCGGAGGAACACCGAUGGCGAAGGCAGCCCCCUGGGCUAACACUGACGCUCAGGCACGAAAGCGUGGGGAGCAAACAGG
Molecule: ribosomal RNA, 253 nt
Filed under: uncultured bacterium
Lineage: Bacteria
Description: partial 16S ribosomal RNA
Rfam family: Bacterial small subunit ribosomal RNA
Source: RNAcentral